UACGGGGGGAGCAAGCGUUGUUCGGAAUUACUGGGCGUAAAGCGCGCGCAGGCGGCUAUCCAAGUCAGUGGUGAAAGCCCGGAGCUCAACUCCGGAACUGCCAUUGAAACUGUUUAGCUUGAGGAUGAGAGAGGUGAGUGGAAUUCCCAGUGUAGAGGUGAAAUUCGUAGAUAUUGGGAAGAACACCAGUGGCGAAGGCGGCUCACUGGCUCAUUACUGACGCUCAGGCGCGAUAGCGUGGGGAUCAAACAGG
Molecule: ribosomal RNA, 253 nt
Filed under: uncultured bacterium
Lineage: Bacteria
Description: partial 16S ribosomal RNA
Rfam family: Bacterial small subunit ribosomal RNA
Source: RNAcentral